GUGGGGAAUCUUGCGCAAUGGGCGAAAGCCUGACGCAGCCAUGCCGCGUGGAUGAUGAAGGUCUUAGGAUUGUAAAAUCCUUUCACCGGUGAAGAUAAUGACUGUAGCCGGAGAAGAAGCCCCGGCUAACUUCGUGCCAGCAGCCGCGGUAAUACGAAGGGGGCUAGCGUUGCUCGGAAUUACUGGGCGUAAAGGGAGCGUAGGCGGACAGCUUAGUCAGAGGUGAAAGCCCAGGGCUCAACCUUGGAAUUGCCUUUGAUACUGGCUGUCUUGAGUUUGGGAGAGGUGAGUGGAACUCCGAGUGUAGAGGUGAAAUUCGUAGAUAUUCGGAAGAACACCAGUGGCGAAGGCGACUCACUGGCCCAAUACUGACGCUGAGGCGCGAAAGCGUGGGGAGCAAACAGGAUUAGAUACCCGAGUAGUCC
This 425-nucleotide ribosomal RNA is filed under the name uncultured bacterium. RNAcentral describes it as "partial 16S ribosomal RNA". It matches the Rfam family "Bacterial small subunit ribosomal RNA", at positions 354 to 796 of the family's 1533-position model. The record is from RNAcentral.